CCUAUUGACUCAUGCAUUGACCAACCAAGUCCAGUCAAGAUAAAUUAAAUGAGCAUUCAUAAUUUCAGAGCAGAAAAAUCAUCAAAGAAAGCAAAAAACAUUGUGAACAGACUUAAAUGAAGGCAGGAAAGUUUAACGCUAAGAAUUUUUCUUUCACAUGAAAUUGAAUUUCGAGGAAGUUUUUAGAUUGAAACUAUUGAAUUCCGAGCACAAUUUUGGAUUGGAAAAAUCGAUCAAAGUCUUUCUCAAGGUUUGACCUUAUUCUAUAAAUAUCUGCGAAUACGCAAAGUCCAUUUGAUCGCUUUAAUAUACAUCCAAUUAGGAAAGAUGAAAGGGUUCGGCAAGGUGAUUAUUGUCAUACUCAUAUUGCUUGGUUUUACCCUAAUUGAAGGAAGAACAAUAUUUCCAGAUCAAGUAUGGGAUACACCUAAGAUCCUAAGGGUCCCAAGUCCUCCGCCACCGCCGCCACAACCGCCAGCCGGACCUCAACAAUGAAUAAGUGAAAGGCCCGACUCUUUCAACACCGUAGUUGUUUUCUAUUUUCAAUUCAAAUUCUAAAUUGGGAAAGUAUUGUAAGGAAUAAAUCUUGUAAACCAAUAAAUGAGUUACCGUAAGCCAAUAUUAAGGGGUGCUAUUCUUCAUAUUGUCUCCGCAAAUGUUUCCAUGUAGCCUAGGAAUGCAAAGUGGGAGGAUUUUUCGAAUUCCAGUGAUUAUGAUUAAGAAACUUUCAAUGUUAGAACAAUAUUAUUUUGUCGAAUUUUGUAACGCUUGUAAGAUCAAUAUUAUUAUGUAUUUUAUGCCAAAGGUCACUAAAUUUUCAUA
Molecule: non-coding RNA, 822 nt
Organism: Erythranthe guttata (spotted monkey flower)
Lineage: Eukaryota; Viridiplantae; Streptophyta; Magnoliopsida; Lamiales; Phrymaceae
Source: RefSeq, a predicted model, not a curated record